AAUCCAGGUCCGAAUUGUCACCUGCGUUGGUGUGCGUUCCGCAAAGCGGAUAGGACCUGGAUUUUUU
RNAcentral lists this non-coding RNA (67 nucleotides) under unclassified sequences. RNAcentral's name for it is "DUF3800-IX RNA". It matches the Rfam family "DUF3800-IX RNA". Rfam says of the family: Actinobacteria, Firmicutes (1 example), Nitrospirae, Proteobacteria, Verrucomicrobia (1 example). Nearby to DUF3800 The record is from Rfam by way of RNAcentral.